UCCAGACAGUGUGAUACUGGUAAAAGAACAGACAGAUUAAUGGAACGGAAUAGAGAACUCAGAAAUAGUGCACAAUGCAGAUCAUGUGUCUACACUAAAUUUGGCAUCAAUAUAGUGACCUCCCAGGAGUGGAGGGCCAUCAAUUUGCCUAAGUAGGGGUGAAGCGGCCCAGGUUGGAAAUGGAGUGGAUCAAAACUCCCAUGCUGAUCAGUAGUGAGAUUAUGCCUGUGCAUAGCCAACCAAUUCACUCUAGUCUGG
This 258-nucleotide small RNA is filed under the name Microcebus murinus (gray mouse lemur). Its description in RNAcentral is "Metazoan signal recognition particle RNA (ENSMICG00000032055.2)". The stretch from base 69 to 238 matches the Rfam family "Metazoan signal recognition particle RNA", at positions 89 to 258 of the family's 299-position model. Rfam says of the family: The signal recognition particle (SRP) is a universally conserved ribonucleoprotein. It is involved in the co-translational targeting of proteins to membranes. The eukaryotic SRP consists of a 300-nucleotide 7S RNA and six proteins: SRPs 72, 68, 54, 19, 14, and 9. Lineage: Eukaryota; Metazoa; Chordata; Mammalia; Primates; Cheirogaleidae. The record is from RNAcentral.